GCAGCUUUGCCUCGGGAGAGAAAAAGAGAGUCGAUUCCGAGUACAGCUGGGCCACUGGGACUGCAUUCCUGCCUGUGAGGAGGACAGCCUGUCAAUGAGCCAGAAGGGGCUAACAGAGCCUUCAGUUGCAGGGUCAAGAAGAGCCACAUUCAAACCUGACUAUAUGAAAUAAUUAUCACCCAGAGAUAUUGGACUUGGAAUAGAAUAGAGAAACCAAAUGCUAUUUCUACGCCAUCUCCAUUUAGAGAGAGUGUAAGUAGGGGCUUUUGCUCUUAUUCUUGGUGUUGAAUGUGG
Molecule: long non-coding RNA, 294 nt
Filed under: Homo sapiens (human)
Lineage: Eukaryota; Metazoa; Chordata; Mammalia; Primates; Hominidae
Description: non-protein coding JRKL-AS1:5
Source: RNAcentral